Molecule: long non-coding RNA, 176 nt
Organism: Haliotis rubra (blacklip abalone)
Lineage: Eukaryota; Metazoa; Mollusca; Gastropoda; Lepetellida; Haliotidae
Exons: 3
Source: RefSeq, a predicted model, not a curated record
CACAUUCCUUGUACAAGAUUACAGAACUGGCAGAGCACUUUGGCCUGAAUGUUGAUAAAACACAGCUUGAGUGGAGUCAGGUCAAGGAACUCUUUGCUGAGGAAGUUGACACCUGUUCACCAUCCAAUAUCCUGAAGACUCUGACAAGCCUCAAGCCCCAACUGGGAGACCUCUAC